ACCGUACUCCUACGGGAGGCAGCAGUGGGGAAUUUUGGACAAUGGGGGCAACCCUGAUCCAGCAAUGCCGCGUGAGUGAAGGAGGCCUUCGGGUUGUAAGGCUCUUUUGUCAGGGAAGAAACGGUAGUAGCUAAUAUCUAUUACUAAUGACGGUACCUGAAGAAUAAGCACCGGCUAACUACGUGCCAGCAGCCGCGGUAAUACGUAGGGUGCAAUCGUUAAUCGGAAUUCCUGGGCGUAAAGCGUGCGCAGGCGGUUGUGUAAGUCAGAUGUCAAAUCCCCGGGCUCAACCUGGGAAUUGCAUUUGAGACUGCACGGCUAGAGUGUGUCAGAGGGGGGUAGAAUUCCACGUGUAGCAGUGAGAUGCGUAGAUAUAUGGAGGAAUACCGAUGGCGAAGGCAGCCCCCUGGGAUAACACUGACGCUCAUGCACGAAAGCGUGGGGAGCAAACAGGAUUAGAUACCCGUGUAGUCCUUGAC
RNAcentral lists this ribosomal RNA (479 nucleotides) under uncultured bacterium. Its description in RNAcentral is "bacterial SSU rRNA". It matches the Rfam family "Bacterial small subunit ribosomal RNA", at positions 330 to 801 of the family's 1533-position model. The record is from RNAcentral.